Long non-coding RNA from Taeniopygia guttata (zebra finch), 5471 nucleotides. Lineage: Eukaryota; Metazoa; Chordata; Aves; Passeriformes; Estrildidae. The record is from Ensembl.
UUUUUUUUUUUUUUGUCUUCCGCAAAGCUAUUAGGUCUGUAUGUAGGAGAUGGCAGCCUUAAUAUUCAUCCAAAUGGGAAAAGAGAAAUAAGACUUCCAGUAAUUACAGUGGAACUUAGACACAAAGUUUCUGCAUAUGUGCCAUUGUCAAUGAAAAAACAUUCAUGUUUCCAAUUCCUAUUGGAUAUUCAAUACCUCCUGAGCAUAAAUAUCUCCUAAGUUCUAGAAAGAAUACAAUUCUUGUUACAGCAAACACCAGAAGGAGCUUUUCAGUUCCUCUCAUGGCUGGCACUGUUGCUUGUCCUGUUUUGCAUUCCUUCCCAGUUUAAAGAGCUUUUUCUUUGUCGUUUCUGAUGUGUUACAGUUUCCAGACUCGAUUCAAAAUACCAUUUGCACAUUUAAAUCCACUUCAACAACUGCUUGUAGACAGACUGAAGGAAAGUGCAACAGGAAAAACAAUCCAUGCUGUCAUCAGAAAACCUUUCCAAAACUUUGAGAAACAGCAGAGAUCUCGCUGGAAGCAAAGGUGCUCUGCUUGAAAUGUAAUCAGUAUUUUCCCCUUCAGCUUUUUUUUUUCUCUUUUCCUUAUAGACAGUUGCUUCCACUGCACCUUCAGCCACCACUAAAUCUAUAUGAAAUUAAUCUUCUUCUAAUGAGUUUGUACCAAAAAAAAAGUGGGGAUAAAAGCAUGGAAGCACGAAGGUGGGAUUUAGGCCAGUAUAGCCCAUUGAAUUUUUUAGCGCCGCAUUAAUUUUAUCUGCUGAGUCCUCCCAGCCUCACCAAUGUGUCAAGACUCUAUUUGUCCUGCAACAGCUGCAGUCAGGGCUGGCAAACUGUACACAGAGGUGCAGCUGAAAGAGACCUUCAAGAUUUUCUGAUCCAACCCUCACCUCAGCACCACCACAGUCACCUCACUCCUAAACCCCAGCAUCACAUCCAGAAGGUCUUAAAAGGACUCUAGGCAGACACAGAAGUGCUUGUGUCAAGGUGCUGAAUUGGCCUACAAACACAUGGAUUAGCCUAAAUUCUUCUGGUGCCACUGCUGGAAACUUGGAAGUGGCAAUUGGAAAGUCACCUCUGAUGAUGUAAAAGUUAAAGGAAUUCAGUUUGAGUAAGGUCCUAAGAGAAACAGCUCUGCAAGUUCAGCACACACAGGGUUUUGUAGGCAAAUGAAAGCCACAUAUUUGUGUUGCUGACACCAUCUCUAAGCUCAUGUACCUCACAAUCUCAAAAGAAAUUCUUUGUUUAGUUUUAUCACAGAUGAAAUUACAGCUACAUGGGUAUCACUGGUUCAGGGUAAGCAAAAAUGUGAAAAAAUCAUUUAAGCUUGCCAUUCAAAUAAGAGCUUGAUAUGCAGUGAGGAUCUUAGAAACCAAACUGAGCAGGAUAUUCAUGAAUUUGAGGUGACCUGUCAGUCUGGUCCUUGAAGGAGAAACUCAUUAGAGGCAGAGGUUUCUCCUCUGGGAAGGGGAACAUGUAAAUCUUGCAUGUCUGCAUCGCUGAGAGAGGAGAAACGUGAAGAAGUUGCUGACUGGAAAAGGGCUGGGUUUGCUUCUGGUGUCAAACGUGGCUCUUGGUGGGAGGUCCUAGCAAAGGAAGGGACCCCAGUAGGGGACAUGAGGCUGGCAGCAGGAGCCUGAAGAUGUGGCACUUCUGAUGUGCUCCAAUGACCAAGUCCUGGGGUUCCUCAUUUUCAACACUUGGUAAUCAAAGAGUCUCCCUUUAAUCAGAGCUUUGCACCUCAUCAAGCAGCUCUGAAGCAAACAUCAAUUCUCCUUUCUUACAGUCUCAUUUCUUGCAUCAUUAACCUAUUUGCUCUUCACAUUAUGAACUUGUCUGAACUUUUCCAAUCUCUGAAACCACUUCUCAGAAUUUUUUCAAUCUCUAAACCGACUUCUCUGAACAAACCCUUUUUGUAAUGAAAUUUCUUUGCUUAUGGGACAGAAUGUCAGUCCCUUAGUGGAAAAAAAAGAUUGUUCUGUGCAAGAUUUUUUACAAGCCUCAAAUAUAUUUGGGGGCUUUAUUUGAAUAUUUUGCCCUUUUUUUAAGGAAUUAGGUUCCAGUGCAGGAGAUCAUUGAGGAUUCAUUCCCGUGCAUUUUUCCACUGUUGAGCAAAGUCAUUUACAUGAGAGGAGCUUUCAGAACUUUUUGUUGUUGUUUGAACUUCUCGUGCAAAACAUGACAUAAAACCUAACAAAGGGAACAGAUUGUUUACGACUGUAGCUUUCUUUAUUAUUAGCCUAACAUUGUUUUUGAUUUAUUUUGUGCAACAAAAAUAACAGCUUUCUGUGCUAGAGACAAUUAAUUUUACGCUCUGGAAAAUCUGGUGCGUUUUUGCAACAUCUGAAUCCAUUUCACAGUAACAGAUUCAAAUGUCACAAAGUCAAAAGCUGCCACAUAAAAGAUGAAAAUUAUAAAUAUCAAGGGCAUGUUUGUCACUUCUCUUAUCUAAGUCAGCAUUCCCGAAGACUUCUCAGCCAGAAGCAUUGGAUAGCUCUUUCUAUUUGCUCUUUUCUUGCUCAAAGCCGCACAUAAUCUGUGCUACAUUAAAGAGAAAAAAACCUGUAUUUCCAUAGCCCUCACUGCUGCCCUGAAAUAAUUUCCACUUGUAGUAUCUACCUGAAGGGAGAACUUUUAGGAAAGGUCUUAAAAAUUAUUUUGUAACUGCAUAUUGUAUUUUUUAUUAUGUUUAAUGUUAAUGGCUUGAAUUGAAAAAAAAAUCUCUUCUCAGGAAUUCCUUUAACAUUGCAUAAAUUAAAUCUUAUACCAAACUCUCCUUGAAUUUCAAUUUAAUUUAUUUUAUUUAAUUCUUCCAUAUCUGCACAUGGUCUCUGUUAUGACAGCAGGGCAUAUGACAUGUUGAUUCUGACACUAUAAAAAUUCACAUUAAAUUUUCCAAGAAAUUCUGACUGCCAUAGUUUGGUCCAUUUUUCAAAAAUGAUAAACAGUUAUCUCAGUUCCGGGUACAACUUUGUGAUCACCAGGUUUUUCUGGACAGAAGUGUUGGAACAUCUCGUGCUCUUACAUUGUGAUUUCUCAGCAUAAUGCUGGUAUGUUUGAAAUCUUGCUGGACAAACUCAAGAGAAACCAAUAAAUCAUCACUUGAGUGGUGGCUGUGUCUCCUUGGCUAUGCACAGGGCUAAAACUGAGGUCAGUUUUUCUCAGCUGGGCUGGGGGAAGACUCCUCAUGCAGCAAAACUUUAUCUACACGGAACAGAUUUUACCAGACACUCCUUAUCCCACAGUUGCAAACCAAUGGCCUAGAAAUGACAUGAGCUGGAAUGACAUAAUGGAACACUUCUCCUCAAAACUGGAAUAUUCAGCCAGAAGAACUGGCUGUGGAACUGCCUGGCUCACCUAUCUGUCUUUUGAACACUUGCCUGCUCCAAAACUGCAUGGAUUAAAGUGCAGAAACUGCCUUUGCUCCAGUAUGCAACUCGAUAGGAACUCCAUUCCAGGAGUGAAUUACCACAUCUGCUGAUCUCUGCACCUCAUGCAGCAGCUCCAUCCCGGGGAGCCUCUCUCCACAGGGCUGGGUGUUCCAGGCAUGACAUCACUGGAAAUGGUGCCAGAUUAAAUUACAUGGGCAGAUGGAUAGCACAGGAUUCAGCAGAUUCUUGACACGAGCACAGUCUUUGCGUUUUUUGCAUCUAUGGAUUUAAAGCUACGUUUUCAAAUAAAUUUGCAAGCAGUUGUUCUCACAUGCAGCGAGUCUUCCUCUUAGGGAAUCCACAUUUACCAGAGGGAAAGAAAACAGAUCCCUGGAGGAACUAUUUCCUAUCGGGAUUGCAUCCAUCCGUAACUGUGUGUACAAACACAGCACCUAAAAUACCUUUUUUUUCAGGAGAAUAUAUCAUCUUUAUCCUGUGACAUGGGGGUCUUGUUGCUCUCCUGUAAGCAAGAGCAUCAAGAAAGUAAUUUAAAAGUGUUUCACUAUUAAAAGCCAUCUGGUUUUGUGAGGCUGCUGAGUUUUCACUCAAAGUUUUGGUAAAGAUUGGACUUAAAUCUUGGAUUUCCAAUUGUACCUUGGGCUCUUAGGCUGUGCUAGGAAAGGGGAGGUGAAGAAUUCUUGUUCCUGAGAAAUUAUUUCCAAAAUUCCAGGCAUCUUCACAAUGACGCUGCUUCUAUUCACUUUUGAAAUGUUGAAGCACCUGGUCAGCCUCUCCUAAAAAGUACAGUCAGCAGAGAGGCACAACUGAACCUCCACCCACUGCUCCUCACACUGCAAGAUUUGGGCUAAACUGGAGCAGAGGAACAUUUCUAGGGAGAGAGAAUAAGAUCUUUCAGAAUCUGUGGUAUUGAUGAUUCCGAGAUUGUAGAAAGUCUCUGUCUUUCUGCCCCACUGCCAAAGAAGGAGCCAUAAUUCGUCUGUGCUGGUUUCAAGGUUGUUUAUUCUGUUUAUCUCUAACAUGUUCUGCUGCCCUGCCGUAGGUCUGUCCUGCAGGGCAGCGUGUGGGGCUCUGCCCUCAGUGGGAUGUUACAAACAUUAUAUACCAGAAACUACCUGUGCUAUAUUUACAAUAAUGUGCCAAUAUCUGUCACCUACAUUGAACAGUGUGUCCCCAGCCUAAAUCAACAGAAAAAUGCCAACACUGCAGUGAAACAUGGAGGGCAUGAAGAAGGAGAAAAAGGACAAGACACACCCAAUUUCCUCCAUCUUGUCCCCUUUGAACCCCUAAUCUAGAAUCCUAAAAUUUUACUUUUGCACCCGUGCCACACUUAAUUAUUACUUAUAUCAAACACUCAGAGCUUGUAAUUCAUCCUGUAAGAUUGAAAACUCUUUUCCAUGGACAGAGAUCACAGACAGUAUCUCUGGGGGCUCUGUCCAGGGGGGUUCCUGACCCCUGCCAGGGUCCCAGACCUUCCAGGGCAGCCAGAGGGAAGCCCUGGAUUCCCACAGGAUUGAUCCUCUUCGGGGCUUUGGCAAGGCAAGGGGUGGCAAGAAAACACUUCGUGUUGCCCGCACCUUUGUACCUGAAUUGGACCUGAUGCCAUCAGGCCUCAAGCAUUGUGAGACAGUGGUUAAACAACCAGAGAGAAGCACUUGGGCAUCCAGCCAGAAUAAGAUCCCAGCAGGAAAACAAUUGGAGCUGCCACAUUAUCCUUGACCAGCUGAUGUGAAACUUGGGAAUUUUUUUAAGGGAAAAAAAUCGGUUUUGCAAUGUGAACUUCCUUAGCAGCAAAGUGAAGCAAAAUAUAUGAGGAAGAUUAUGAAUUAUGCUGUGUCCAUCAAGUUCUGCCACUUAGUAGCUCCACUGGAAUGGCAGGCCAAAGGAAAAUGUAGAUGCAUGUGUCCUAUACCGGGUCUGUGGCCUUCACUGUCCAAAGAAACACAAACAUUUAGGGAACAGCAUUUACUGGGCAUUUGGACAAAUCCAAGUCAGCUUUUCAGAAGGGACAAAAUGUUAUGCAGUGACCAUAAAUAACAACUCUGCACAGUGAAGUUGAGCCUUCAGAGAUGAGAUAUGUUA